GUGGGGAAUCUUAGACAAUGGGCGCAAGCCUGAUCUAGCCAUGCCGCGUGAGCGAUGAAGGCCUUAGGGUUGAAAAGCUCUUUCAGCUGGGAAGAUAAUGACGGUACCAGCAGAAGAAGCCCCGGCUAACUCCGUGCCAGCAGCCGCGGUAAUACGGAGGGGGCUAGCGUUGUUCGGAAUUACUGGGCGUAAAGCGCGCGUAGGCGGACCAGAAAGUUGGAGGUGAAAUCCCAGGGCUCAACCUUGGAACUGCCUUCAAAACUCCUGGUCUGGAGUUCGAGAGAGGUGAGUGGAAUUCCGAGUGUAGAGGUGAAAUUCGUAGAUAUUCGGAGGAACACCAGUGGCGAAGGCGGCUCACUGGCUCGAUACUGACGCUGAGGUGCGAAAGCGUGGGGAGCAAACAGGAUUAGAAACCCCGGUAGUCC
This 425-nucleotide ribosomal RNA is filed under the name uncultured bacterium. Its description in RNAcentral is "partial 16S ribosomal RNA". It matches the Rfam family "Bacterial small subunit ribosomal RNA", at positions 354 to 796 of the family's 1533-position model. The record is from RNAcentral.